Molecule: long non-coding RNA, 1373 nt
Filed under: Bemisia tabaci
Lineage: Eukaryota; Metazoa; Arthropoda; Insecta; Hemiptera; Aleyrodidae
Description: lncRNA ENSSSA1UGG009615
Source: RNAcentral
AUGCCGAUUUUUCGCCCCAACUUAACAAAACUGGCUCCGCUGGAAAAUUUGCUACCAGAAACUAGGGUCCUUUUACCCGUGGACGGGCACAAAUGAUGAUGCCAACUGGUUUUUCUCCACAAUAAUGAAAUGUGACAGGAACUCAGUAACGUUGUCAGUGGAGAUGCAUGAAAAAAAGCUCCUAUUUUUCCCCCUCUUCGCGGACAUUGUUGAAAAUAGCGGAAAUGAAUUUUUCAAGCUCAAUAGAAAGCUUAGAGGCCGAAUAUUCCUAAAAUUGCCGUGCACCUUGGAUGAUUUUUUACAUUUGGAUGAAAAUAGUGCCCAGCCCUGAAAUUUCAGCGCGCAAUGAUAACUUUAUUUACCCGACGUUUUUCAAGACCCACUUGGCAGAGGCUAAGCAAUACCGAGGGAAAUGCUUUAUGAAGAAAUAUGGGGGGAGCGCCUUUUAACUCAGUUACAAAUCUUUCCCUUUUUACCUCGUAGCUUUCUCAUGUUGCUCACUUGUGACUGCUCACGACGCAGCCAAAUCACGUAGGAUACGAUGGAAUUUUUACUCGGAAACACUUCUGUUUCUGCGGGUAGGAGGGGGGGGGGGGGUAUUUCUCGAAUUCCUGCGUCACUUUAUUUUUCCGUUUCAACAUUUAAUAAUUUUUUCUUUUAACUUGCUCACAAUCAGAGUCAACUUAAUUUAGAAAUCCCUUCCUCUAGGUCUUGUAGAAUUUAAAAUUGGAAAAUUGUGAUUCUGUUGUCUGUGAUUGGUCCUAUGUAGGGUAAACGUCAUGUUUACCCAUCUAAUAGACGUCGUCUUUGCCGUGGGAAAAUAUUACAUCGCGUUAAAUUUUAUUUUAAUGGUGAAUUAUCACCUUUGUAUGUGUGUUUUCCCUUGCUACAUCCAAGUGCACAUUUUUAAUUAAAUUUUACCAUGGAUAUCCUCUCCGAGCUGGCACCUCCGCCUUGGUCACCCGAUCACUGCAGCAUCCCGGUUACCCCUCGCAGCUCGUGAUCGGACACCCCUCCCCCCCUCCCCCUCCCCCGUCAUGCAGCGCCUUGCAUUCUCGGGCCGGCAAUCCCGAUUUUAGGGCCUUUCAGUCAGCUUUUAUCUCGCGCCAUCGCCGGCCUCGCCAAUCGCCGCGUUGGAGCGCUUUUAAUAAAGUCCGGUCUCCCGGAAAAGAUGGCGCUUUCACCUCAUCUUUCUUUUUUUUUGCUCUUUCUUUAGACAAUGGUCAUUUCGAGAGAGUUUCCCAUCGUCAGGUCUUUGAUCAUACUCCUAUGCCAGAUUCAGAUGGGGAACUUUCCCGCAAUAACCAUCGUAUAAAGGAGUAAAAAAAAAACUAGGAGAUCAUGAGACAAGAUAACAUUUUCCAAAAAAUUAU